CUGUAACACAGGUGUGGUUGUUCUCAGUUCUCCGUUGCGUACCUGUAGUUUGCACUGACCCUACUGCUUGACGGAAACUGAAAAUGAGUUUUGAUCUGUCUUCAGCUGUUGGAAGUGAUGAGAAGAUUGAGAAGCAAUCUGGCCAGGAAGUAAAUUCAUUCUUUGGAUUUGGAAAGAAGAAAGAUGAAAAAAAGCAUGAAACCAAAGACUGUGACAAGAAAGACAAAGACCAUUGCAAAGGAGAUAAAAAAGACAAGAAACACAAGGAACAUGGUGAAGGACACAAGAAGAAAAAAGACAAGAAGCAUAAGGAAGGUGGACAUGAGUCUGAUUCUUCCGGCUCGUCUUCCUCCAGUGAUGGCGAGGGAAAGGUAAUAUAGACCAGCUCACUGUGGAAGGAGCCCCGCUUCCUUAAGCGAAGGCUUAAACAGUUUUCACAAUUCUCAGAUUAUAUGUCCAUAUCUACUCCCAAAGUUUACUUUCAGAAUGGUAACAAAGAGAAUGCCAUGCUGGAAUGUAGGUGUUGUAAGAUCAGAUAAAAAAAGUCAGGAGAGAAGGUCAAACUGGUUCUAUAACCCUUGCAAUCAGAAGGCAUGGUUGCUGAUGGUAUCUGUACACAUGCCC
This 624-nucleotide long non-coding RNA is filed under the name Scleropages formosus (Asian bonytongue). RNAcentral describes it as "lncRNA (ENSSFOG00015030547.1)". Lineage: Eukaryota; Metazoa; Chordata; Actinopteri; Osteoglossiformes; Osteoglossidae. The record is from RNAcentral.